AUAUAUGAUUUAUAAAAUUAAGAGAUUAAUUUAUUAAUAAAUUGUAUUUAACUUUUUAAAAUUAUAGAUUCAAAGGGUAGUUUUGGGAUCGAAGACGGCCAGCGUCUCAUUGAGGGUUCUUCUGCCCAGAGGAGUCCAAGGCACCCUAAAAUCUUAAUAUCUCAAAUAAUUAACAAAUAAUAAAACACAAACACUCAGAAAUAUAUUUACAAACAGCAAAGCACCUGAUAGAUCUAAUCCACAAGGAUUCUUGAACUAGACAAAAAGAAAAUAGCUCCGAUGGUUUAUUUAAUGUGGUUUAUUUAUUUACAUCAAAGGCAGGAAUAGGGUUUCAAGGGUGGAGUCCUGAUGUCUUGCAGUCAGAAGGUUGAUUGAUAUCUUGGCAAGUUACACCCAUCUUAGAUGCUAUGUGGGGUCUUAGGCAGGGCUUGAGGGGGAAGUUCACUUUCAUUGCAGUCAGUCCCUGUGGGGAGUGCCCCAGGGAGUUCCUACUAUGUGCCACAUAGUCCACAGACAGCUCCAUGACAGGGUAGAUAAUAAAAGAAACCUUUGGGGGUAAAAAUGUCGGGAACCGCUCAACUGAACAUUACUGACCAGCAUUGUUGAAUUUAAACUUGGUUCAGUUCAUUGCCAUGGUUCCACAGGGUAGCAGUAGUGAGUUUUGAGUAAAAUUUCAGAUUGACACAUGAGCACUUGAAAAUUAAUUGGUAUAACUGAGGACUUCACUGAUCUAACACACAAAACAAACCCCAUGGAUUUUUCCCCAUAGUCUCCUACGCAGUAUAACCUCCACUUCCCUCAUCCUUCAAAUGUAUCCAAUUAAUCAGAUUUUUAAAAAUAAAACUCAUUAUUCUACUUCUUCAUAUUACAGUUGCUAAUGGUAUCUCCCACCUCUCCUCCUGCAAAACAAAAUAGGAGCUGGAUGUAUUAGUGGGUGCUCACCAACAGUUGUUGGUUGCCAUUACCAGCAGCCUGUAACACACCCCCUCUUGAUCCUAUUUAAUCAGCUUUUUUAUCACUGUAACCAAAAGAUCUGACAAGAACAUUUUUAGAACAGGAAAAGUUUAUUUGGGGGCUCGUGCUUCCGAGGUCUCAGUUCAUAGACCACUGACUCUCUGGCUCUGGGUCUGAGAUGAGGCAGAACACCAUAGCAGUAGGAUGUGGAGGAGGAAAGCCCUCAGGACCUGGCAAUCAGGAAGCAGAGCUUAUCAGGGAUAAAAUAUAAACCCAAAGUCACACCCCCAGUGACCCGCCCCUCCAGCCACCUUGUGUGCAUAGAGUUGAUCCCUAUCAGAGCAUUAAUGCACUGAUUAGGUUAAGGCUCUCAUAACCCAAUCAUUUCACCAAUCAUUUCACUUCUUGCAUUGUUGCACACAUGAGCUUUUGGGGGACACUUCAUAUCUAAACCAUAACAUUGU
This 1418-nucleotide long non-coding RNA is filed under the name Marmota monax (woodchuck). Lineage: Eukaryota; Metazoa; Chordata; Mammalia; Rodentia; Sciuridae. The record is from RNAcentral.